UGCCGAGUAGUGUAACGGUAGCACUAGGGACUUUGGAUCCCUCAGUUCAGGUUCGAAUCCUGGCUCGGCAGCCA
RNAcentral lists this transfer RNA (74 nucleotides) under Chloroflexota bacterium. RNAcentral's name for it is "Chloroflexi bacterium tRNA-Gln". It matches the Rfam family "tRNA". From Rfam's summary of the family: Transfer RNA (tRNA) molecules are approximately 80 nucleotides in length. Their secondary structure includes four short double-helical elements and three loops (D, anti-codon, and T loops). Lineage: Bacteria; Bacillati; Chloroflexota. The record is from RNAcentral.